This 97-nucleotide signal recognition particle RNA is filed under the name Caldimicrobium sp. RNAcentral's name for it is "signal recognition particle sRNA small type". It matches the Rfam family "Bacterial small signal recognition particle RNA". From Rfam's summary of the family: The signal recognition particle (SRP) is a universally conserved ribonucleoprotein involved in the co-translational targeting of proteins to membranes. Archaeal SRP consists of a 7S RNA and homologues of the eukaryotic SRP19 and SRP54 proteins. In most bacteria, the SRP consists of a 4.5S RNA and the Ffh protein (a homologue of the eukaryotic SRP54 protein). The record is from RNAcentral. Lineage: Bacteria; Pseudomonadati; Thermodesulfobacteriota; Thermodesulfobacteria; Thermodesulfobacteriales; Thermodesulfobacteriaceae.
CGCGAGGACGGGUGCGACGGAUCCUGGUGAACCCCGCCAGGCCCGAAAGGGAGCAACGGUAGCCAGGCUCUCCGGGUGCUGCCCGCUCCUUGCGUAG